CCUACGGGGGGCAGCAGUGAGGAAUAUUGGUCAAUGGGCGCAAGCCUGAACCAGCCAAGUCGCGUGAGGGAAGACGGCCCUACGGGUUGUAAACCUCUUUUGCCGGGGAGCAAGCCUGAGCACGUGUGCCCAGGCGGAGAGUACCCGGAGAAAAAGCAUCGGCUAACUCCGUGCCGGCAGCCGCGGUAAGACGGGGGUUGCGAGCUUUAUCCGGAUUUAUUGGGUUUAAGGGGUGCGCAGGCGGGCUGUUAAGCCGGCGGUAAAAAUUCAGGGCUCAACCCUGUCGGGCCGUCGGAACUGGCAGUCUUGAGUGGGCGAGAAGUAUGCGGAAUGCGUGGUGUAGCGGUGAAAUGCAUAGAUAUCGCGCAGAACUCCGAUUGCGAAGGCAGCGUACCGGCGCCAGACUGACGCUGAGGCACGAAAGCGUGGGGAUCGAACAGGAUUAGAUACCCUUGUAGUC
RNAcentral lists this ribosomal RNA (460 nucleotides) under uncultured bacterium. Its description in RNAcentral is "partial 16S ribosomal RNA". It matches the Rfam family "Bacterial small subunit ribosomal RNA", at positions 338 to 795 of the family's 1533-position model. The record is from RNAcentral.